UGAGAAUGAUUGAAAAAUCAGUAUUUUUUCACCCAAAGGCAUGAGUGAACAUUUGAUAAGUUUAUUGUGAUUUAAUUGGUAAUUUGGUCGACAUUUUGACAAUUAUAUUUAGCAAUAUUUCGAUAAAUGCGGACCUGCUUCUUCCUCUUUUCGCAGUGACGGUGUUUCGAUAACUCAGUUAGACUUCGAGAUCUACAUUUUCGACAAAGGCCUGGUGUAAUAUUAUUACGUACUUGAUGAAGGUAAUAUUAAUUUCUUCAAAUUUGAAGCAUGACGUUAAUGGAGUACCAGCACAACUUCAUUGACUGCUACGUGGCGCUGGUGGAAACUAAGGUUUAAUGACACGAAUGAGUACAAGUACAUUACAUUUUUCGACGAAGGCCUUCUGUAAUUUCAUACGCUUCUUACGCAACAUUCAAUAGAUUUAUUUACUGUAUUAUCAUUUCGACCAAGGCGAAUUCGACACUUCAAUUACACAAGGUUAGUAACUUUUGUUCACAAAAUCCAAAUGGAGGCAAAUACAGAACAAUCAAACUUAGUCAUUCCAGUCAGUUACUGAAGCACAGUGAAAACUGUCGGGAGCAGUGCAACUGAUGGCAUGUCAAACUUCCAGUGACUGUCCCUGUCCAUAUAUUUCAAGACAGUACAAAUCUUGUAAUCAUUUUGUUUAUGCAAUGUACGUUAUUAUGUAUCAUUUCAGCACAAUCAAACUUAGUCAUUCCAGUCAGUUACUGAAGCACAGCGAAAACUGUCUGAAUUAGUGCUGCUGGUGGCAUGUAAUUACUCUACUACCACUACCAGUGACAGUCAAUGUCCAAAUAUUUUCAAGUGUGCGAAAUUAGUACUCGUCUACUUCUUAGUGUUAUUUGAAUG
Molecule: long non-coding RNA, 873 nt
Organism: Lineus longissimus
Lineage: Eukaryota; Metazoa; Nemertea; Pilidiophora; Heteronemertea; Lineidae
Exons: 4
Source: RefSeq, a predicted model, not a curated record